GUGUCAGCCGCCGCGGUAAUACAGAGGGUGCGAGCGUUAAUCGGAAUUACUGGGCGUAAAGCGCGCGUAGGCGGUUUUGUAAGUCGGGUGUGAAAGCCCCGGGCUCAACCUGGGAACUGCAUUCGAGACUGCAUUACUGGAGUAUGGGAGAGGGCAGUGGAAUUUCCGGUGUAGCGGUGAAAUGCGUAGAUAUCGGAAGGAACAUCAGUGGCGAAAGCGACUGCCUGGCCCAAUACUGACGCUCAUGUGCGAAAGCGUGGGGAGCAAACAGGAUUAGAAACCCGCGUAGUCC
RNAcentral lists this ribosomal RNA (292 nucleotides) under uncultured bacterium. RNAcentral's name for it is "partial 16S ribosomal RNA". It matches the Rfam family "Bacterial small subunit ribosomal RNA", at positions 505 to 796 of the family's 1533-position model. The record is from RNAcentral.